CUCAGUAUUUAUGGAGCAAGAUGGUUGGCUCAGUCAGUUUUUCGCACAUGCUCAGUUGGCCCUCAGCUGUUGAAACAGGUGUCUGCUAUCACUUCUUUGAGCACCCAGUUUGCACCAGGCUGUGGUCAUUACUGCCUUGGCUAGACAGCACCAUCAGUUCUGUGCUCAAUGUCUGUCUGUGCAAGACCUCGGGAGUAACAGCCAGGCUGCAAGAGGAAGCUGGCAGGGGAGCACACUAUCACAGCGCUUUAAAAGACAUCAAUGCUAGAGACUGCACCAGACAUGCACUAUGGAAAUAAUACACCUAAAAACUUAGAGAUACCCAUUAUUUGAUUUGUUGAAGUCGACAUGAGCCUGCCUGACAAGCCUAGGCAUAAUUGUGCAGCUUUAAGCAGUGUAAAGCCAUCAUGUUCUUCAGAAGAGACUGCAGAACGCACAGACAGCCUUACACGCUGCAGCCAGGUAAAUGAUCUAGCACUUAACAAUUUUAUUUUUCUUGUUUAACAAAAAUGAUCCCUGACCAGUGUAGCAUGAAUAACCUUCCUCGGGAUACUUUAAAAACAUACCGUAAUAAAAUAUGUAUCCCACUGCA
This 592-nucleotide long non-coding RNA is filed under the name Numida meleagris (helmeted guineafowl). RNAcentral describes it as "lncRNA (ENSNMEG00000018704.1)". Lineage: Eukaryota; Metazoa; Chordata; Aves; Galliformes; Numididae. The record is from RNAcentral.